Molecule: RNase P RNA, 323 nt
Filed under: Cytophagia bacterium
Lineage: Bacteria; Pseudomonadati; Bacteroidota; Cytophagia
Description: RNase P RNA component class A
Rfam family: Bacterial RNase P class A
About the family: Ribonuclease P (RNase P) is a ubiquitous endoribonuclease, found in archaea, bacteria and eukarya as well as chloroplasts and mitochondria. Its best characterised activity is the generation of mature 5'-ends of tRNAs by cleaving the 5'-leader elements of precursor-tRNAs.
Source: RNAcentral
GAUAUAGACCGUCUUAUCGUGCUGACGUUUACAGUCAGUAAGGAAAGUCCGGGCACCACAGGGAAGCAUAGCGGCUAACGGCCGUCACUCUGACCAUUGCGUCAGUGGAGGACAAGUGCAACAGAAAGAAUGUACAGAUAAUGCUGUAGUGAAAUCAGGUAAACUCUAUGCGGUGAAAUGCCACGUAUACUUGUGCUUGAGGGUACCCGCCCGAUACAAGAGGGUAGGCAGAUUGAUCCUGACGGUAACGUCAGGACUAGAUAAAUGAUAAGAUCAUCCCAAAGGGGAGUAGACAGAACCCGGCUUAUAGGUCUAUAUCUUUU